Molecule: ribosomal RNA, 497 nt
Filed under: uncultured bacterium
Lineage: Bacteria
Description: partial 16S ribosomal RNA
Rfam family: Bacterial small subunit ribosomal RNA
Source: RNAcentral
GAUGAACGCUGGCGGCGUGCCUAAUACAUGCAAGUCGAGCGAACAGACGAGGAGCUUGCUCCUCUGAUGUUAGCGGCGGACGGGUGAGUAACACGUGGAUAACCUACAUAUAAGACUGGGAUAACUUCGGGAAACCGGAGCUAAUACCGGAUAAAAUGUUGAAACGCAUGGUUCAACAGUGAAAGACGGUGUUGCUGUCACAUAUAGAUGGAUCCGCGCCUCAUUAGCUAUUUGGUUAGGUAACGGCAUACCAAGGCAACGAUGCGCAUCCCGCCUGAGGGGAUAACCAGCCACACUGGAUCUAGGACAGUCACCAGAAACCUAAGGGAGGAAGCAGGAGAGAAGGUUCGGGAAUAGGCCGAAGCCUUACGAAGCAACGCCGGGUGUGUGAAGAAGGGCUUCGGAGCGUAAAGCUCUGUUAUUAGGGAAGAACAAAUGUGUAAGUGACAAAGCACAUGUUGAAUAUACCUGGUCAGAGAGCGAAUGCUAACUACGUG